GGGUCAGUAGGUUGGUCGUGCCACCGGUACGUACUGGUCUCACUGAUUCCUCCUUCCUGAAGAACCGUAAUGCCAUUACUUUGGUGUUGCGGGGAAACAGGACUGUUACUUUGAAAAAAUUCGAGUGUUUAAAGCAAGCUAACGCUUGAAUACAUUAGCAUGGAAUAAUGAAAUAGGACGAUCGAUCCUAUUUUGUUGGUUUCUAGGAUUGACGUA
RNAcentral lists this ribosomal RNA (216 nucleotides) under Glomeromycotina sp. RNAcentral describes it as "partial small subunit ribosomal RNA". The stretch from base 87 to 216 matches the Rfam family "Eukaryotic small subunit ribosomal RNA", at positions 733 to 864 of the family's 1831-position model. The record is from RNAcentral. Lineage: Eukaryota; Fungi; Glomeromycota.